RNAcentral lists this transfer RNA (95 nucleotides) under Streptomyces djakartensis. RNAcentral's name for it is "tRNA-Ala". The record is from RNAcentral. Lineage: Bacteria; Bacillati; Actinomycetota; Actinomycetes; Kitasatosporales; Streptomycetaceae.
GCGCUGAUGGUGAAGAGGGCCGCGGCGAUCUGCAUGCACCGGAUGCGGCCGAUGCGGUCGGCUAUGCGGCCGGCGGUCGCGGCGCCGACGGCGCA